This 243-nucleotide non-coding RNA is filed under the name Oceanobacillus iheyensis. RNAcentral's name for it is "T-box sequence". It matches the Rfam family "T-box leader". From Rfam's summary of the family: Uncharged tRNA acts as the effector for transcription antitermination of genes in the T-box leader family. T-boxes are found upstream of many aminoacyl-tRNA synthetase genes and some amino acid biosynthetic genes usually in Gram-positive bacteria. Lineage: Bacteria; Bacillati; Bacillota; Bacilli; Caryophanales; Bacillaceae. The record is from RNAcentral.
UUAAAGGCUACGAAAAGGAAAAGUAUAUGGGGUAAAGUUCAAAGAGAGCCUCUGUUGGUGAGAUGAGGUAACGAUAUUCCAUUGAAAAAUGACCUUUGAGCUGCGCACCAAACACAAAAAUGUUAGUAGGCUGCGACGAGAGUGCACUCGUUACAACGGCGCCAGUAUAGAUGUACUGAUGGAGGCAAAUUGUGAGAGCAAUUUGUGAAAAUAGGUGGUAACACGGGAAAUCUCGUCCUAAUC